RNAcentral lists this long non-coding RNA (208 nucleotides) under Oryza brachyantha (malo sina). RNAcentral's name for it is "long non-coding RNA (OBRA_LNC001930)". Lineage: Eukaryota; Viridiplantae; Streptophyta; Magnoliopsida; Poales; Poaceae. The record is from RNAcentral.
CUAUGCGAGAUUCCAUCCAGCUCGGACUGGGUCGCGCCUCCGUGAAGCUCCUUGUCCCCGCAGAGGAAACGAGUACGUCCUGACGCUUUUUGCAAAAGCAAGCAGCUUUUGUCAGAGCAACCAACUUUGAGAGGCUCAAGGAAGGGAGCAAGCAGCGGGCGGGCCGCCUCCGACGCGUUGCCAAGCCACCGGGAGCUCGUCGCCGAAG